CGAAUAUCUCUUGCUGUCUGUUCUAUUUUUAUGACAUUAUGCUAAGUUGUGCUAGAAAUAUAUUGAUGUGCUUCGAAUAGUUAUAUAUAUUAACUGCUCACAUCAUUAAAUUUGUGAACCCAGUUUUCACUGUCCUUGCGGCCUAAUUUGCUUCUGAGUUGGUUAUGGCGCGAGAAAAAGGAAAAGGCAAAACAAAAAUCCCCACAUAUUCAUCGUCUUCAGACUCCACUGACGCAAAUGUUCCUGCGUCUCCUCCUCCACAAAAAGA
Molecule: unclassified non-coding RNA, 268 nt
Filed under: Hevea brasiliensis (rubber tree)
Lineage: Eukaryota; Viridiplantae; Streptophyta; Magnoliopsida; Malpighiales; Euphorbiaceae
Source: RNAcentral